UCUCUUUUGUCUUUUUCUGUUUUUGUCCUUUUCCUCUUCGUCUUCAACCUUGAGCUUGCUUCUUACCUGAACAUGAACGCCUCCAGCGCCUGCAACUAGCUGAACCAAGGAUCGCUCGGCGCCACGACUCCGGCCGCCAACCACUAACUGCCGUCCUUCGCCGUCGUAGAAACAUGACCACCUGUCGGCCAUCUACUCGACCGGCAUCGGAAACCGCCGUCUUUUUUCCUUUGUUUUUUCUUCUUCUUCCCUUUCACUCCGACGGGGACGACAAUGUCUCCUUCCACCACCACCACGCCAUCGCCAUCUCAGUCCACCACCUCGCCGCCGUUUCAGUCCUUUGUCGUCGAACUUGAGCUCGAGCUCGACCGGCGAACUUGACCCUCGAAUUUUGGAUAUAAGGUUGAGCGAGCCCUAGAAUUGUGAUCUAGAGGUUAGCUCGACCUCGAAUCUGAGUUGAUUCGGGGUCGACCAGGGUCGGCUUAGACAACGGACAAGGCCGAGGCGGCAGUGUGGUUAGUUGACGCGGCGUAGGGCCUCGAGGCGGCAGCGCUGGAGGCCGGAGGAGGAGUGGGCGAAGAUGGAGGCAUGGAUGAGGUGACGUGCCGAGGCGGCGGCGGGUGUGAGGUCGGGCUUCAGGUUGAGGAUGGAGAAGGGAACACGGGGCGGGCGGAGGAGAGAGAGAAAGAGGAAGACAAU
This 699-nucleotide long non-coding RNA is filed under the name Eucalyptus grandis. RNAcentral describes it as "long non-coding RNA (EGRA_LNC007269)". The record is from RNAcentral. Lineage: Eukaryota; Viridiplantae; Streptophyta; Magnoliopsida; Myrtales; Myrtaceae.